AUGGGGAAGAAGCAGCAUAGCAAGGACCGGAUGUUCAUAACUGCCACGGAGUGGGCGACAGAGUGGGGCGGCGCCAAGAACAGGGAGGCCAUCGCGCCAUUCCAGCGCCUCCCCUUCUACUGCUGCGCGCUCACGUUCUUGCCAUUUGAGGAUCCGGUGUGUACGGCAGAUGGAAGCGUCUUCGAUUUGAUGAGCAUAAUCCCAUAUAUUAAAAAAUUCGGGAAGCAUCCGGUAACUGGAGCAGUGCUGAAGCAGGAGGAUCUAAUUCCUCUCACUUUCCACAAGAACACAGACGGAGAGUUCCAGUGUCCUGUUUUAAAUAAAGUUUUCACAGAAUUCACGCAUAUAGUUGCUGUAAAGACUACGGGGAACGUCUUCUGUUAUGAGGCAAUCCAGGAGCUUAACAUUAAGCCAAAGAAUUGGAAAGAGUUGCUAACCGAUGAGCCCUUUGCACGAAAGGACUUGAUAACAAUUCAGAAUCCAAAUGCGCUUGAUACCAAGGUCCUAGGGCAAUUUGAUCAUGUUAGACAAGGCCUCAAACUUGAUGAUGAAGAGUUGCAGCGGAUGAAAGAUGAUCCAACCUACAACAUAAAUGUUGCCGGUGAUCUUAAGCAAAUGAUGAAGGAACUUGGGACUGAAAAAGGAAAAUUAGCUUUUCUGCAUGGUGGGGGAGGACAGAAAGCUCAAAAGGAAAGAGCUGCCGCACUGGCUGUCCUUUUAGCAAAAGAAGAGAAGAGUGACUCAAAAUCGAGCAAAGAACCUAAACCUCCUCAACCAUUCAGUGUUGUGGAUGCUGCUUCGGCUUCUGUUCAUGGCAGAAGCGCAGCAGCAGCAAAAUCUGGCACUGCUGAGAAAACUGCUGCUAGAAUUGCUAUGCACAGGGCAGGGGAUCGGGAUCCUAUAAAUGCUAAAUUGGUUAAAAGUCGUUACACUACUGGAGCAGCUUCACGUUCUUUCACGUCGACUUCCUAUGACCCCGUUACCAAAAAUGAAUUUGAGUAUGUUAAAGUUGAAAGGAAUCCAAAAAAGAAAGGAUAUGUUCAGUUGCAUACCACCCAUGGUGAUUUGAAUUUGGAGCUUCAUUGUGAUAUUACUCCUCGGACAUGUGAAAACUUCCUAACACAUUGUGAAAAUGGUUACUACAAUGGUCUUAUCUUCCAUCGUAGCAUCAAAAACUUUAUGAUUCAAGGAGGUGAUCCAACUGGCACAGGAAGCGGAGGGGAGUCCAUAUGGGGUGGUCAACCUUUCAAGGAUGAACUGAAUUCAAAGCUGCUACAUUCAGGAAGAGGUGUUGUCAGCAUGGCGAAUUCUGGGCCCCAUACCAACGGGUCGCAGUUUUUCAUCUUAUACAAGUCCGCGGCACAUUUAAAUUUCAAACAUACAGUGUUUGGCAUGGUGGUUGGUGGUCUGCACAAUCUUUCAGCAAUGGAAAAGGUUCCUGUUGAUGAUGACGACCGCCCAUUGGAGGAAAUAAAGUUACUGAAAGUUAGUGUAUUUGUGAAUCCUUACACGGAACCAGACGAGGAAGAAGAAAAGGCAAAGGAGGAGGAGAAGAACAAGGAUGAAGAUCAUGAUAAGGUGGGGUCAUGGUAUAGCAACCCAGGGACUGGUGUUUCUGCUUCAACGAGCGCUGGUGGUGGAGUUGGCAAGUAUCUCAAGGCUCGGACGGCUGGCUCUGCUGAUGCCACUGGAAAUGCCGCCACAGCAGAUGAUUCAAGCAAGAAGAGAAAAGCGAGUGCUCCUAGUGUAGAAUUCAAAGAUUUCUCUGGAUGGUAG
RNAcentral lists this ribosomal RNA (1776 nucleotides) under Triticum aestivum (bread wheat). RNAcentral's name for it is "partial small subunit ribosomal RNA". The record is from RNAcentral. Lineage: Eukaryota; Viridiplantae; Streptophyta; Magnoliopsida; Poales; Poaceae.